GGACCUCCAAUCAAGCAAGGCUACCCGCUGGAUUUAAGCAUAUAACUAAGCGGAGGAAAAGAAACUAACCAGGAUUCCCCUAGUAACGGCGAGUGAAGCGGGAAUAGCUCAACUUGAAAAUCUGGGAGGUUUUACCUCUCCGAAUUGUAGUCUAAAGAAGUGWAGCCAUCAGUUCACAGGGGAUAAGUCCCUUGGAAAAGGGCGCCCAAGAGGGUGACAGUCCCGUUCAUGCUCUUGUGAAUCUGAGUACGGCUUGCUCUCGACGAGUCGAGUUGCUUGGGAUUGCAGCUCAAAGUGGGUGGUAAAUUCCAUCUAAGGCUAAAUAUGGGUGGGAGACCGAUAG
This 343-nucleotide ribosomal RNA is filed under the name Pseudotetraedriella kamillae. RNAcentral describes it as "eukaryotic LSU rRNA". It matches the Rfam family "Eukaryotic large subunit ribosomal RNA", at positions 1 to 340 of the family's 3401-position model. Lineage: Eukaryota; Eustigmatophyceae; Eustigmatales; Loboceae. The record is from RNAcentral.